RNAcentral lists this ribosomal RNA (784 nucleotides) under uncultured Alphaproteobacteria bacterium. RNAcentral describes it as "SSU rRNA". It matches the Rfam family "Bacterial small subunit ribosomal RNA", at positions 53 to 881 of the family's 1533-position model. The record is from RNAcentral. Lineage: Bacteria; Pseudomonadati; Pseudomonadota; Alphaproteobacteria.
ACAUGCAAGUCGAGCGCCCUGUUUCGGCAGGGAGCGGCGGACGGGUGAGUAACGCGUGGGAACGUGCCCUUUAGUUCAGAAUAGCCACUGGAAACGGUGAGUAAUACUGGAUACGCCCUUCGGGGGAAAGAUUUAUCGCUAAAGGAUCGGCCCGCGUUGGAUUAGCUAGUUGGUGGGGUAAAGGCCUACCAAGGCGACGAUCUAUAGCUGGUCUGAGAGGAUGAUCAGCCACACUGGGACUGAGACACGGCCCAGACUCCUACGGGAGGCAGCAGUGGGGAAUAUUGGACAAUGGGGGCAACCCUGAUCCAGCCAUGCCGCGUGAGUGAAGAAGGCCCUAGGGUUGUAAAGCUCUUUCAGAUGUGAGGAUGAUGACAGUAGCAUCAGAAGAAGCACCGGCUAACUUCGUGCCAGCAGCCGCGGUAAUACGAAGGGUGCUAGCGUUGUUCGGAAUUACUGGGCGUAAAGGGCGUGUAGGCGGAUGAUCAAGCUAGGGGUGAAAGCCCAGGGCCCAACCCUGGAAUUGCCUUUAGAACUGAUUGUCUAGAAUCCGUAAGGGGAGUGUGGAAUUCCUAGUGUAGAGGUGAAAUUCGUAGAUAUUAGGAAGAACACCAGUGGCGAAGGCGGCACUCUGGUACGGUAUUGACGCUGAGGCGCGAAAGCGUGGGGAGCAAACAGGAUUAGAUACCCUGGUAGUCCACGCCGUAAACGAUGUCUGCUAGCCGUUUGGACACUUAGUGUCUGGGUGGCGCCGCUNACGCAUUAAGCAGACCGCCUGGGGAGU